RNAcentral lists this ribosomal RNA (2247 nucleotides) under Triticum aestivum (bread wheat). RNAcentral describes it as "partial small subunit ribosomal RNA". The record is from RNAcentral. Lineage: Eukaryota; Viridiplantae; Streptophyta; Magnoliopsida; Poales; Poaceae.
AUGGCGUCGUUGGUGCCCGGUGUCCUCGUCAAGCUCCUUCAGCAUAUGAACACGGAUGUCAAAGUCGCAGGAGAGCAUCGGUCGUCCCUUCUUCAGGUCGUCAGCAUUGUGCCGGCACUUUCAGGGAGUGAUCUUUUCACCAACCAAGGGUUCUACCUCAAGGUGUCCGAUUCUUCGCACGCCACAUAUGUGACCCUUCCCGAGGAACAGCAUGAUCUCAUCUUGAGCGACAAGAUUCAGUUAGGGCAGUUCAUCCAUGUUGAUCGCCUUGAGGCGGCCACUCCGGUACCCAUCCUUUGGGGAGUUCGGCCAGUUCCUGGCCGUCAUCCUUGUGUAGGCAACCCUGAGGACCUUGUGUUAACUAGCUCUUCCAAAGUUGCCGGCAGCAAGAAAGCACAACCGGCCAAUGGAUCGAAACCAACCAAUGGAUUGAAAGAUGCUGGCGUCUUGUCGCUAGAGAAGGAAAAGAGCAAGUUAGAGAAAAUAAAUGCUCCCCACAAAACCGUUGGGACAGAAAAUAAGAAACCGGUGCUGACCAAAUCAAAAUCCUCACUGUCAAAACAGGCUUUGAAUGGGGUUACUGAGAAGAAGGAAACAGUGAAACCAAAGGCAAGACCUGCUCGUGUUAGAUCAACACCUUCAUCUCCAACCAGUGUCUAUUCUCUACCUGCAACAUUUGACAGAUUUUCUAGUGAUCUAAGACAGAGACAUGGGGUAAAAGGACCAGAGAAAGCAUCAUCUUCUAGGCUCUCCUUGUUAGAAAGGGCAGCUUCAGUUCUGAAGGUCACUACUGCAGGGAGAAGGUCCUCUGCGGUUAACUCAAUCAGUAGCUCUGUGCUGGGUAUUGGAUCAGGGCCAAAGGCAUUGCGAAGAAGCUGGGAAGGAGCUGUAGAUACAAAAGGGAAAAAUAAUUCAGACUCAAAGACGACCAAAGCUGACAGGAAACCUGAGAACAGGGGCCCAACGACUCCUAGAAGAAAGCCACCAGUGAACGAGAAGGUGACACAUAAAGACGACAGUAAGAUUCAUAACCCUGCUAGAAAGAGCACGUCAAGUGCUCCUGCUCCUCCAGUCGAUGCUGACAAAGCACCGAAGAAGCAUCCUCCUACUCUAAAGAGGACAUCUGGGGGUUUAAGCAACCCAAAUGUUACAAAUUUGGUUAAGAUUCCACCAAACAGCAAAAAACUGACAGAUGUCGGCAAUUCAUGGGCAUCACUUCCUCCGUCACUUGCCAAACUAGGAAAGGAGCUUCUGAAGUACAGAGAAUCGGCGCAGGUGGCUGCUGUUGAAGCCAUGCAGGAAGCUUCUGCUGCAGAAAGCUUGCUGAGAUGUUUGAGCUCGUACGCUGAGGUGAGCUCGACGGCGGAGGAGCAGAACCCGCAGCCGACCGUUGAGCAGUUCCUCGCCCUCCACAGCUCGCUCUCCCGCGCCACGGUGAUCACUGACACCCUCACCAAGUCAGCAGUCCCGCCGGAAUGCUCAGCGGCCAGCGACGCCGGGACGGUGGUCUCUGCCACGGACGAUGAGGCCGCUGCUGCAGUCGCAGCGGAGCGGCAGCGCCGGGCCAAGUCUUGGGUUAACGCUGCGCUCGCCACGGACCUCUCUGGCUUCGGGCUCUACAACCUCAAGCCCGUCCCGGCCACGGUGUCAUCGCCGCUGGCGGUGGUCGUCGUUGACGAGUCGGCGAAGCCAGUUGCGGCGUCCCCCAAUGCCGUGAAGUCGUUGUCUCCAGCGGCGAAGUCACGGAUGUCCCCGGCAAAGGGGAAGCCGAGGACGGGCCCGGGGGCCACGGCAGCCGCGGUGACGCCCGCCCCGCCGGAGUGGGAGAGGGGAGUAGGCGCGGAGGAGAGGGGCCAGCUGGCUCGGCGGCUCGGGGAGGAGUCCCGGGGGUGGUUCCUCGGGUUCGUGGAGCGGUUCCUGGACGCCGACGUGUCGGCAGCGGCGCCGUGGGACCGCGAGCGCGCGGCCAGGAUGCUCCCGCAGCUGAAGCGCGUCAACGACUGGCUCGGCGAGAUCGGGACGCGCGGCGAGGCGCCGCCGCCGCCGCCGCCGGCGCAGGACGGGGACGAGGAGGCCGCGGCCGCUGCUGCGUCGGCCAACGGCUGCGGCGUGCCCGAGGAGACGAUCGAACGGCUGAGGAAGAAGAUCUACGAGUUCCUCCUCACCAACGUCGACUCAGCUGCCGCGGUGCUCGGCGGCGCGGCAGCCCCGCCGGCCCCGGCGCCGGCGAGCGGGAAGAAGUCGUGA